UUGUGACAGAUGCAUUAUUUGUCGAAAUGCGCAUCUGGUGCAUCAAAAUUGGUACCGUAUACGUUUUACAUGCACCAAGAGUAAGCAGACUUGCCACACUGCUGAUAUGGUGAACAUUAGAACAUCACAACCGCUAGAAUUGGUCUGUAUGGAUUAUCUUUCCCUGGAACCAUCAAAGGGAGGAGUUCAGAACAUUCUCGUGAUAACUGAUCAUUUCACCAAGUACGCAGUAGCAGUUCCCACUCGAAAUCAACUUGCCAAAACAACUGCAGACGCCAUAUUUAACAACGUUAUCUUACAUUAUGGAAUUCCAGAAAAACUGCACUCAGAUCAAGGUCUCCCUACAGUGAUUUACGAGAACUCCGUUUAAAGUUCCUCCUGUCGAGAUGGUGACGACCAGUCGUCGAUAGGAGAUGCUCCGGAUGUUGAUCCAGAGGAGGACGUUCCUCGUCAGGAUGAUGAGACUGAGGAUAAGCAUGACGGUGAUGAUGAUGAAGUUAAUCAUGGUGAAGAAGUUGAUCAUGGUGACCAUGAUGAUGAUGUUCAGCCUUCCAUAACUGCAACACCACCAAUCCCAGUUCCAAGACGAUCAGCAAGGAACAAGAUGAAACCCGCUUGGACAAAGGAUUUUGUGAUGAUGAACCAGACAGUGCCUGAGUGGUUGCAGAGAGCAAAGUUCAUGAAGGAUUGAUAGAUAAAGGUUCCUUUAAAUGGAUUAGAUUCUUCAGUAUACCAGAUGGCACUUGUGAACAUUGUAUCAGCAUCACAUUGAUUUUAACUUGUAAAUUAGAAGUACUUUUAUGCUGUUUGAAUUGUUUACUAAGUAUUUGCAUUACGGUGAGCAAAAAUAUCUGGUAAUUAUUUACUUUUUUAGUAUAUUUACAACUGUCCAGGUGAAUGACGCGGACGUCAUUCUGUAACUGGGGGGAGGUUGUAAUAGUAUUAGGUUUUGAUAAUCCAUUACUGACAAAUAUGUGUUUUUAUAUUCAUACAUAUUUAGAUCUUAGAUCCACCCGUUUAUUUACACCACUACACAAAGGUACACUUACAACUUAUAUACUUUGAGGACCGAUCGGAGUGUGGUCAUUUUGUAUGAAGGGUUUUUAUUGGUCAGUGAUUGUCAAGUUGCAUUUGGUUGGUUUUCUCGGUUCUAUAGUUUUACAGCCAGUUUUGAGUAUCUGAAUAUUAUUCAGAAGCUAGUUAGACAUACAUUUGAAUAGACGUGAUUUUGAGAAAGAGUUAAUACUGACAGCAGACUACAAAAUCCUUGAUUUCUGGUAAGUAACAUAUUUAUACUAAUUCCUAUUGCUACUAGUUAAUUAAAAGUCUAUUCUGUAUAUUUGCAAUAUAAACUUCCCAUUUGCACUUUUACUAAAUGACUGAAAGAAUGAAUGAAUGAGUCAAAAUUAUUCAUUAUAUUGAUUAAAGAAUUCAGUUAUAUAUAUUACUAUAUUGUAAAGUGAUAUAAAUCAGUUUACAUAGAUUUAAUGCUUGUCAAAAGUAUUUGAUGACUUUGUUCAAAAUGAGCAAUUAGAUAUUUAGUUUAAUUUAUGAAAGUGAUUUUACAUUGUACAUACAUGGUACUUUAUUGAAUUAUAGAGUCAAUCCUUAAAUCCUGAUGAUAUUGUCCGAGCUGUAAAUUCACUGAGGGAAGCUUCUUCCCAUAGAAGGGUUUUAUUUCGUUAAUUACUUUAUAUCAAUAUUCACGGAGAAAUUAUUUUUGCAAAAUGACGUAUCUUUAGAGUUAUCUCCCUUAAAUGAUAAACGUAUCUUGAUGGAAAUCAGUAAGAUUAAAUAUCGUUUAGGAUAGGCUUUGACUGUUAAGUUAGUAUUAUAUCGUUGUUUUAUCAUAUUUCAGGGCUAUCUUUAGUAAUAUACUGUCAAGUCCAAUCACUGUGUCCGAAUAAAUAUAUAUCGAGACCUGAA
Long non-coding RNA from Ostrea edulis (European flat oyster), 1926 nucleotides. RefSeq lists it as uncharacterized. The record is from RefSeq and is a predicted model, not a curated record. Lineage: Eukaryota; Metazoa; Mollusca; Bivalvia; Ostreida; Ostreidae. The transcript has 2 exons.